CUCUCCCCCUACGAACCCCUCUCCCUCGCCGCCGCCACCAACCACGCCGACCUAUAUCGGCGAGCUCCGUCGACGGGAAGUUCUCCCCUGAGCUCCCCAAGCUCCACGCCUCCUUCUCCUCUAUCCAUAAUCCACGCUCCUGCCCUCCAUCGCCCCCAUGGCUAGCUAGGGUUUCGGUAGCCACUUCAUCUCCGACGACAGCGAGUCGAGCGGCCAGAUCUGCCAUGGCCACAACGUGCCUUCUGGAUC
Molecule: long non-coding RNA, 249 nt
Filed under: Hordeum vulgare
Lineage: Eukaryota; Viridiplantae; Streptophyta; Magnoliopsida; Poales; Poaceae
Description: long non-coding RNA (HVUL_LNC016510)
Source: RNAcentral